Molecule: ribosomal RNA, 131 nt
Filed under: uncultured bacterium
Lineage: Bacteria
Description: partial 23S ribosomal RNA
Rfam family: Bacterial large subunit ribosomal RNA
Source: RNAcentral
GAUCAAGCGUUGAAGGGCUUCUGACGGAUGCCUUGGCGUAGAGAGGCGAUGAAGGACGUGGCAAGCUGCGAUAAGAACCGGGGAGGCGCUAGCACCCUUUGAUCCGGUUAUUUCCGAAUGGGGAAACCCGG